Uranotaenia lowii is the source of this 848-nucleotide long non-coding RNA. RefSeq lists it as uncharacterized. Lineage: Eukaryota; Metazoa; Arthropoda; Insecta; Diptera; Culicidae. The transcript has 4 exons. The record is from RefSeq and is a predicted model, not a curated record.
UCGAGGUCCACUGAUUGGAAAUUUUGUUGAAUCAGUGAAUAUACAUAAGUGAAGGUCUAUAACAUAAGCGAAACCGCAUUCGAAUUCUUAGAAAACUGUAUUUGAGGUCCAAACUUGGAAAAUUUUGUCAAAACAGUAGUAGCUGAUAAACCAAGAAUAGAAGAGGAUAAAUCAACAUUAGCGAAAUUUUCGGGAAUUCGUUAAUAUUCCCGAAAAUUUCUUUCGGGAUAAAAUUGGAGUUGUUACAUCAUCUUGGAUUCGAUUAAAAUUAACAAACAUGUUGUGAGAAGAAACAUUCGUGUAGAGUUUCUAAAAUCGAAGUUCAGCUGUACCGCAAAGAAUCACCGACACUCACCGUCACUCACGAGCUUCUCAACUGUCACUGCAUCCAUCAAGUCCGUUUCCGGUUAUAAGUUCAACUCAUGCAAAUGAUGUAUAAAUAUGUGCCGCUACUUGAUGUGCGAUAAAAUUGGUGAAAAACAAUUGUUCGGUUAUAUAUAGUUCCUGUUCAGGAGAUCACUCCAACAAUUCUUGCUACAGUGUUCCUAAAGAACGUGCAAGAAUCACCUGAAGCACUCUCCGACCGAUUCCGAAAUCGAAACCGAUCCUGCAGACAGAACUGCAAACCUGGCCAAGAAUAAUUUAUUACACCAUCAUCAGUGUGCCUAACCUCAUCAAGACGGAAACAAUCUAACCGAACACGGGAAGCAUCGGAACCAUCACGACCUAGACACGAUAGGCAGAGGAGCAUCAAAUUCCGGCUCACCUGUAAAGAGAGUCUUGCCAGAAUCCACCGCAUUACAGGGUGAACCGACGUCGCAUCCUGGGAAGAUCAGACUUCCUGAACA